UGGGGAAUCUUGCGCAAUGGGCGAAAGCCUGACGCAGCCAUGCCGCGUGAAUGAUGAAGGUCUUAGGAUUGUAAAAUUCUUUCACCGGGGACGAUAAUGACGGUACCCGGAGAAGAAGCCCCGGCUAACUUCGUGCCAGCAGCCGCGGUAAUACGAAGGGGGCUAGCGUUGCUCGGAAUUACUGGGCGUAAAGGGCGCGUAGGCGGACAGUUAAGUUGGGGGUGAAAGCCCGGGGCUCAACCUCGGAAUUGCCUUCAAUACUGGCUGUCUUGAGUAUGAGAGAGGUGUGUGGAACUCCGAGUGUAGAGGUGAAGUUCGUAGAUAUUCGGAAGAACACCAGUGGCGAAGGCGACACACUGGCUCAUUACUGACGCUGAGGCGCGAAAGCGUGGGGAGCAAAC
RNAcentral lists this ribosomal RNA (401 nucleotides) under uncultured bacterium. RNAcentral describes it as "bacterial SSU rRNA". It matches the Rfam family "Bacterial small subunit ribosomal RNA", at positions 355 to 773 of the family's 1533-position model. The record is from RNAcentral.